RNAcentral lists this unclassified non-coding RNA (3996 nucleotides) under Leishmania donovani. Its description in RNAcentral is "gene:LdHU3.13.0740(CDS-product:U-box_domain_conta ining_protein_putative)". Lineage: Eukaryota; Euglenozoa; Kinetoplastea; Trypanosomatida; Trypanosomatidae. The record is from RNAcentral.
UGUGCGACUACCCUCUUGUCGUUUCCUUCGCCUCAUCCCUGUCCCCCUCCGCACACAUACACACCUAAACACAUAUAUAUAUAUAUAUAUGCACUUUACUAAUCACUCCAUCGUGGUACAACAGCUCAAGUGCACGCCCUUUUCGAGUUCGCACGAAGCCGAAAACAAGACGACAAGCUUCAACGCCAGCAGAAAAGCACCGGAAAGGAGAGCGAAGUCAUCGCCUUGCGUUCACCCUUGCACAAAACUCCCUGAUGGUGUGCGCCUAUUCGUGAUGCGCUCCAUUUGUGUGCGUAGUCGCUUCUCUCCUGUCUUGCUCUCUUCGCUUGAGCGCAUCUCCGCGUUCUGCUCUCCUCUCUCUCUCCUUAACACACAUUGUGCACCACACGCGCAUCCGUACCUAUUCGUUUAGCGUCUCCUCAUCCAGCUCCCUCGUGUACGUCUUUGCGUGAGAGUGAGUGUGAGUGUGUGUGUGCAACCAUCCCCCUCCCCCUUCUUACACUGUUUGAGGAUAACGUGUCUGCGUUUUGCGGAGCCGCACAUCCAUUUCUCCCCCGCCUCCUGCCCGAGCUUCUGCUGCCCCCCCCCCCCCCCCCCCCCCCCCCGCGCGCCACCACGCGGCCACCUCUCCCUCCUCGACACACACACACACACACACACACACAGACAGACAUACAGACAGACUUCUGUUCUCGUUCAUUUUCUUUUCUGUGAGGCUUUUCGUUGGCAUGUCGGUGCAUCCCGCUGUUCAGUCGCUGUGUGAACAGCCCAUCGACACCAUCGGACUGACAGCUGUCUCUGCAGUUGCCUCCGCCCUCGGAGAUGUAUCGACCGCCACAGAUCUUAUCCAGCGGCCUGAGCAGGAGAAGGCGCUGCAUGAUCUGCUGAAGAAGUGCAUGUCGAUCUUGAACAAUAGCGGCAAAAACUUCGCGCUGCGACUGGCGUGCCUGGAGUGUCUGUACGCACUCUCUCAACCCCCCAUCCCCGCAUUUCGGACGGGGCUGCUGUGCAACACACUGAACAGCGUGAACAGCAGCGUGGAGGAGAUGCUGGCGCGGACGGGGCCAAGCGGGACUGAGAGCCCCUCCUCGGCUCGAGAAAUGUUCACAGUGCUGGUCUUUCGCUUCACCAACUACGACACGAAGGUAGCUCGGCUGCUGCUGCAGCAUAUGUGCGACGGCGACGUCGGCACAAUGAUGCAGACGCUCCUCCGUGUCAUGGUGCAGCAUUGUGAGACAUGCGAGUGGCCACUGCUGCAGGCGGCGUUGCAGUCUCUCUACGAACUGACGGUGCCGAUUACCUACUACGCCACCGGCAAGGACGGCGCCGCGGAGCCGAGCUGCGACUCUGCCGCAACAGCGACCGACAGCUCGCUGCAGAGCUUCACGGUGGAGAGCUUCCAAGACAGAAUUGCCGUGCUGCUCACGGAGAUGCGCAACCACCGACUUCUGGAGAAGCUGCUGGCGUCACUGCGCUUGUCGUGGCACGAGUCCACCCACAACCGCAGCCCGCCGUCGCUUGCACAAGGAUACGCGGAGUCGGUCGCGCUGGGAGCCCUUGGCCGCCCUGACGUGGCGCACACUGUCACCAGCGCCAGCGCGGAGCAGCAGAUGGAGUUGCUCAACUGGCUCUCUGCCUUUACGCUGCUAUGCCGGGCACUGGACAACAUGGUCGAGUUCUGCCGGGACGCGAAGCUCUCAAGGGAGGUGCGGGCCCGGCUGCUGAGCGACCCCGGCUGCCACGACUGGCUUGCGUCCGCGGCCGUGCCGGCUGUCGUUGCAGCCAUACAGGUGUGGAUGUCUGAAGACGGCGCCAGCGCCACGCCCGCAGCGAUCAGCGACGACAGCGCAGGCCCCUUCGCGACGGCCAAGGUCAAGCUCAGCUUGCUAACGGCAGCCGUCACGCUCCUGCGCAUGCUGCGAUUUGCCCUGUACAAACCAGCUGUGGGCUUCACCGCAGCGCUGCUCUCCUCGAUGGCGUGCCUUGCAGCGCAGGUGCAGCGCGGGGAGCCACAUCUCCGUCUGCAGUACGGCGGCAUGCAGGUAAUGCUCUUGACGAUCGAGUGCCUUGUGAACAUGAACGCGGUGGCAGUUACCAGCCCGGUGAACCUCUCAGAGUCAUACCAUGGGUUGCUGCGCACCAUCGCAGCGGACAAGACUCGCUGUACGUUAUCGAACUGCUCCAGCGACGCCAGCAGCGGCCACGGGGCGGUCGCGGAGCCGCAGCCGGAUGCACUGCUGCCCAUCGCUGAAUGGUUCAUCUUGUGCGUGCGCGAGGAGGAGUCCUCGUUCUUUGAUAUCGACAGCGGCAAUGCAUCCGUGGCGCUGCUGCACGAGUGCUUCGCGUCAGAGGAGGCCAUGCUGCAGGACGCGGCAGACCGCGUCGCUGACCUUGUUGCGCUCGAGUCGCAGCUGGCGAUGAUGCAGAACUUUUUGCUUCUCAUGACACUGACAGAGCUGCUGAGUGGGCUACCCGAUGGCGGGCUGGAGCGGUUGACGCAAUCUGGUCCGCGCAGGCGCAGCGGCGCUACAGACGCGCAACAGAAGCCACCGAACGACAGCGGCAGCUCGUCAAAGAGGUGCAGGCCUUCCAAGAAGAAAGCGUCGCACCACCCCGCGGCGUACGUGUGCGACUUGACGGGAAAGUUGAUGCGCGAACCGGUGGUACUCAAGGGCGGGCACCGAUUCGAAUUCGACGCACUGCAGAACGUCAUUCUGCAGGUCGGACAUGUCGACCCCAUCUCUGGCGAGUCUAUCGACGAAGACGUCGAGGUAAACAUCGCACUGCAGCAGGAGAUUGCGGCCUAUCGUGUCAAGCGCGCAUCCGAAAAAGGAGGCAGUUGAUAUCCAACCCCACCCCACCCUCUUGCGCGUUCCUGCUCUCUCUCGUGUUGUUACGGGGGAAGGAGAAAAGAGGAGCUGUGGGCUAUCUAUGUAGACUAGCUGUGGAGCGUGGCACAUGGAACGCAAUGGGGGACGUCCCCGCUCCCCUCUUUUAUCUGCUUGGCUUGGCGCCCAUGUGCGCCUUCUCCCCUCUCUGCGUUUUCUGGUGUUGCGUGGAAGUUGCCGCCGCCGCCCUUCCCCCAUCAAGACGAUGAUGCCGGGGGUGGGAUGGGGUAGGGGGACACCCCUCUCCGUGCGUCGUAUCACAGAGUCCAGUGCCCCCCCCCCCCCCCCCCCCCGCAGACAGAAGCGCCGUUUGGAAGCAGAGCCCCACGAUGCAGAAGGGUGGGAGCUGUGCGCACGCGCUGCCAUGCACAGCUGGCCCGGCGUGCCGCGUCUGGGCAGUGCGUGCACAGGUAAGAGGAGCACGAGCGACGGACGGGCAAGGCGCGAAGAGAUCCGUAUCGAUCAGCCCCAAGGUGCAUGUCGGCAAAGCAUGCGGCAUCUCCGACAUCCGACCCGGGUGGGCCGAUGAGGCACAGAUGCCGGAAGCAUGGCGCGAGCACCCCGAAUUUGCACCGUGGCGUCCUCCGGACUCCACCAUAGAGAUUCGCGGCACCACAUUGCGGAACGCCGGGACUUAGAGCGACUGAGGGCGAAGCGUGGCACCCAGGCAGAGUGUGCAGAGGGUCUCCAUAGAGCCCCUGACCUGUGGGUGGCCAACCUCCUCCCUGAGCUCAUGCGGCAUGCACCUGGACCACCCCGCUGUUACACUCACGGCAGACGCCUGCCGCCUCCGCCCUCGAGCGCAGGACCCUGGACGCGUCCCGCUGGGAUCAAGACAUGCAGUCUAGCCAGGUCCGUGUGGAGUUCGCCGCGCAGCGCGUACCCGAUGAGGGGGCAAGGAAGGGCAGGAAGAGCUUGAUAGGCGCAUGACCCGAUUCGGUGGCAGGACGGCUUGUCCCAUGACGGCCAGGCGUUAGCGGCAGUGCCGCAGCGGCAGGCGAUCGGUGGCUGUGUGGUUGUGCAUGCGUAUCCGUUUGCUGGCUUGUUCGCGGGUGGAAUACGGGCGCGUUGGACCGCUGAAAAUGUGCGACUUACCGCUUCUCUCGAU